This is a small nuclear RNA of Oryctolagus cuniculus (rabbit), 107 nucleotides long. The record is from Ensembl. NCBI's taxonomy places the organism in Eukaryota, Metazoa, Chordata, Mammalia, Lagomorpha, Leporidae.
AUGCUCGCUUUGGCAGCACAUAUACUAAAAUUGGAACGAUACAGAGAAGAUUAGCAUGGCCCCUGCACAAGGAUGACACGCAAAUUCGUGAAGCAUUCCAUAUUUUU